This is a non-coding RNA of Dictyostelium firmibasis, 260 nucleotides long. Lineage: Eukaryota; Evosea; Eumycetozoa; Dictyosteliales; Dictyosteliaceae. The record is from the annotation of a GenBank genome assembly.
CAACCAACCAAAUCAAAAUUAUCAAAUGUCCUCAGCAAGAUAAUUCACAUAAUUCUUUAUUAAAUUCUUUUUUAAAUGGGUUAACUCUGAUCUAAAAUAUUAACAAAAUUAUUACUAUAAUAAUUUAUAAAUUGACCAUAAUCAUUUCUUUUUUAAAUGGGUUAUUUUAUAUUUUAGAUCCAAAUAAUAUUUUUAAAGAAUUUAAUAAACAAUUAUGUGAAUUAUCUUGCUGAGGACAUUUGAUAAUUUUGAUUUGGUUG